GACGAACGCUGGCGGCGUGCUUAACACAUGCAAGUCGAACGGAAAGGCCCUGCUUUUGUGGGGUGCUCGAGUGGCGAACGGGUGAGUAACACGUGAGUAACCUGCCCUUGACUUUGGGAUAACUUCAGGAAACUGGGGCUAAUACCGGAUAGGAGCUCCUGCUGCAUGGUGGGGGUUGGAAAGUUUCGGCGGUUGGGGAUGGACUCGCGGCUUAUCAGCUUGUUGGUGGGGUAGUGGCUUACCAAGGCUUUGACGGGUAGCCGGCCUGAGAGGGUGACCGGCCAAAUGGGGACUGAGAUACGGCCCAGACCCCUACGGGAGGCAGCAGGGGGGAAUAUUGCAAAAGGGGGGGAAGCCUGAUGAAGCAACGCCGGGUGCGGGAUGACGGCUUUCGGGUUGAAAACCGCUUUCGCCUGUGACGAAGCGUGAGGGACGGUAAUGGGAAAAGAAGCACCGGCUAACUACGU
Molecule: ribosomal RNA, 467 nt
Filed under: uncultured bacterium
Lineage: Bacteria
Description: partial 16S ribosomal RNA
Rfam family: Bacterial small subunit ribosomal RNA
Source: RNAcentral